Molecule: non-coding RNA, 957 nt
Filed under: Acheilognathus cyanostigma
Lineage: Eukaryota; Metazoa; Chordata; Actinopteri; Cypriniformes; Acheilognathidae
Description: 12S rRNA
Rfam family: Bacterial small subunit ribosomal RNA
Source: RNAcentral
CAAAGGCAUGGUCCUGACCUUAUUAUUAGCUUUUGUUCAACUUACACAUGCAAGUAUCCGCGCCCCCGUGAGUAUGCCCUCAAUCCCCCACCCGGGGACAAGGAGCGGGUAUCAGGCACAUACAAUAGCCCAAAACACCUAGCCAAGCCACACCCCCAAGGGAAUUCAGCAGUGAUAAACAUUAAGCCAUAAGUGAAAACUUGACUCAGUCAGAAUAAACAGGGCCGGUAAAACUCGUGCCAGCCACCGCGGUUAAACGAGAGGCCCCAGUUAAUAAUAUUACGGCGUAAAGGGUGGUUAAGGAACAUAACAAAAUAAAGCCGAACAGCCCCCCGGCCGUCAUACGCUUCCGGGUGCUAGAAGUCCAACUCUACGAAAGUGGCUUUAACAAAAUUUGCCUGACCCCACGAAAGCUGAGAAACAAACUGGGAUUAGAUACCCCACUAUGCUCAGCCAUAAACCCAGACAUUUAUCUACAACUACAUGUCCGCCAGGGUACUACAAGCAUUAGCUUAAAACCCAAAGGACCUGACGGUGCCUCAGAUCCCCCUAGAGGAGCCUGUUCUAGAACCGAUAACCCCCGUUAAACCUCACCACUUCUAGUAUUUUCAGCCUAUAUACCGCCGUCGCCAGCUUACCCUGUGAAGGAAAUAGCAGUAAGCAAAAUGGGCAAAACCCAGAACGUCAGGUCGAGGUGUAGCGCACGAAGUGGGAAGAAAUGGGCUACAUUUUCUAUUAUAGAAUACUACGAAUGUGCAACAUGAAAUAGUGCCUGAAGGAGGAUUUAGUAGUAAAAAGGAAAUAGAGUGUCCUUUUGAACCCGGCUCUGAGACGCGUACACACCGCCCGUCACUCUCCCCUGUCACAAUGCAAUAUUAUACCUAAUUCCAUAGCGCCGACAAGGGGAGGCAAGUCGUAACAUGGUAAGUGUACCGGAAGGUGCACUUGGAUUAAACC